This 367-nucleotide ribosomal RNA is filed under the name Candidatus Moraniibacteriota bacterium. RNAcentral describes it as "bacterial LSU rRNA". It matches the Rfam family "Bacterial large subunit ribosomal RNA", at positions 1 to 273 of the family's 2925-position model. The record is from RNAcentral. Lineage: Bacteria; Candidatus Moraniibacteriota.
GGUUACGAAAGAGCGUAUAGUGGAUGCCUUGGUUGAGGCGAGCGAUGAAGGACGUAGUUGGGUGCGAUAAGCUUCGGGGAGUUACCAAACAAACUGUGAUCCGGAGAUUUCCGAAUGGGGAAACCCACCCUGCACUUAUUCUAGAAGAAGACUUUCAUUAUUUUAUUAUUUCGUGAGCGAAGCGAUUUCGUCUUACGGAUGAUGAAAUGUACACAAGUCUGAUUUUGGAAUAAGUGCGGGGAACAUAUAACUGAAUACAUAGGUUAUAUGAGCAAACCCUGGGAAUUGAAACAUCUUAGUACCAGGAGGAAAAGAAAUCAAUAGAGAUUCCGUCAGUAGUGGCGAGCGAAAGCGGAUGAUGUCUAAA